UACAGAGGGUGCGAGCGUUGUCCGGAAUCACUGGGCGUAAAGGGCGCGCAGGCGGCAGACCAAGUCAGGCGUGAAAGCCCCGGGCUUAACCUGGGAGGUGCGUCUGGGACUGGUAUGCUAGAGUUCGGGAGAGGAGAGUGGAAUUCCCAGUGUAGAGGUGAAAUUCGUAGAUAUUGGGAAGAACACCGGUGGCGAAGGCGAGCUCUCGUGCCGAGACUGACGCUGAGGCGCGAAAGCGUGGGGAGCAAACAGG
This 253-nucleotide ribosomal RNA is filed under the name uncultured bacterium. RNAcentral's name for it is "partial 16S ribosomal RNA". It matches the Rfam family "Bacterial small subunit ribosomal RNA", at positions 524 to 776 of the family's 1533-position model. The record is from RNAcentral.